GCCUUAGCGACCACGGCUGAGGCUGCUCGGUCUUCGCCGGGGCUGCAGGGUGCAGGGUGCAGGGUGCGGGGGCGGCGGCCCGGGGCACCCCCACUGCCCCCGACUGCGGAGGGGCUGAAGUUUGAGCCGCGCGCCUCCAGGCCCCUCCCCCGCCCCGCCUACCCCGCGAUCCCCCGCAAAACCCGGAGCGGAGCGCCGGCCCGGCCCGGCCCCGAGCAUGCGCAGGAGGGUGCCGGCGCGGCCGCCGGUCGGAAGCGCCAGCUCCGAGCAGGGGGAGCGGCCGCCCGGGCUGCUCGGCCCCGCCGCCCCUCCGGCCGUUGGCUCCCGCUCCGGGCCCGGGCCGCCGGCUGUAUUACUCAUCGUCUUACUGUUAUUUGUCGGAGAGUCUGUCCUUUCCUACCACCUGACAGUGGCACCUCUGCUGUAUUUCAAAUUGUCAUGUAUGUGUGGGUCAAGUUCUCGGCGGGAUUGCAUUUUUUUUUAACAUCCCUGUGUCUGUACUGUGCUGGUUGUAGCUUUUUAUUUGGUCUUUCCCUCCACACAAAUGUACUGAGAUAUAAUUCAUAUAUCAUACACUUCAUCCAUUGGAGUCUACAAUUUAGUGGUUUUUAGUGUAUUCACAGAACUGUGCCGCCAUUACCAUGGUGUUGGAACAUUUCAUCAUCCCCACAAGAAACCCUGUAUCUUGUUAGCAGUAGCAGUUGUAUCUGGUCUUGCUUUUGUUGGGGUUGGGGAUGCCCUUCAUCAGGGGUGGUUCUUCAGAAGUUUUGAAGUUUCUUGGCUAUUCUUGACUGUAAGUUAAUUUGUUAUAUUCCACCAAAAAUCUGGUAGGAAGUCUUUUUUUUUUUUUUUUAAAGAUUUUAUUUAUUUAUUCAUGAGAGACAGAAAAAGAGAGAGAAAGAGAGAGAGGCAGAGACACACACAGAGGGAGAAGCAGGCUCCAGGCAGGGAGCCUGAUGUGGGACUUGGUCCCGGGUCUCCAGGAUCAGGCCCUGGACCAAAGGUGGCGCUAAACUGCUGAGCCACCCGGGCUGCCCCUGGUAGGAAGUCUAAUCCAGAGUAACUUUGAAUCUAUAUAUCAAACUGGGGAGAAUUAACAUCUUUCUUCUCUUUCUACUCGUGAGUAUACCUGGGACGCUGUCUUUUCAUCUGCACAGAGCCUGGCACAUGGGAAGUCCUCAUUAGAUGUUGGGUAUGUGAACAAUGAGGUUUUAUACAUUGCUAAUUUCUCUUUCACAAAAGAGAAAACCUCAGUGAAACUGUGUGACUCACUUAUGGUCACACAGAAUGACAGCCAGGGAGAGAACCAACUCGAUAGACUUGGUGCCUGCGGUCAGUUCUCUGCCACCUAUUGCUAACGAGAGAGCAGGAGCUUUUUGCAAAUAAUGUGUGCUGCUCGGCUGCUUUAAAUUUCAUUAAUUCGAUCUUAUCCUAUAGAUGGCUUUUCUUCGGUGCACCUAGGUAUGAUGUGUGCAUGUGUUUAAUAAAGAUCUGUGGUUGGGAGAACUCAUGGCUUGUAUCGUGCCUGGCACAGAGUGCCCAUGGAGCACAUGUGUGAACAGGGAAAGCCAUAGUGCAGGUUGGAAUUUCCAUUAUGACUCAAAAUUCCCAACUUCUGUACCCAUGACACCUUGAUAGAGCCUACCUUAGCUUUGAGUGCAAACAUAUUGAAUAAGUUGAUGAAACCUUAUUGCACUGUAGAGGGAAGGCCUUGUAUGCUUGUCCUCUGUCUUUUCUUUCUGCACUUGUUCUCCUGGGCCUCACGGAUGCCUUGUCCGUCAGCAGUGCCCAGAGCUUGCUGUGCUGCUGGGAGACAGUCCUUGCUCAUGAGGCCUCCCCUCAGCUGCCCCGGGCCCCCCUUUCCAUCUCUGUGCACUGAAGGCCUGGACCAGAUAAAAGUGUUCUGCAGUUGCUUUUAAAGCUGUGUCUCCCCUUGAGAAACACAAAACCUUAAAUCUCCGCCUUCAGUCCCAACUCUGCUAGGGACAGCCAUCCCUCUGUUGAACACUAACGUGGGUUCUUCCUGAGGUGGUGUAGAAGACACUGUUCAGAGGAUGGCUGCUGGGAACAGUGGAGUGGCCUGGCGUCAUCCUUCAGGGCCGGAGUGCCAUGGCGAGGCUUGGGCCUGAACAUUUCGUCUGACGGGGCCUCUCUGAUUCUGACCAGGAAUAAACCUCUCUUGGCCUCAGGUUCUUCUUCAGUAAAGUUGAGGUGGUGUUACAGAAAGGUUUAAGUGAGGUAAUCCAUAUAUAAACCAUUUACGUCCUGGGUAGAUUGGAGGUUAGAUCCAGAUCUGGGUCCACUCUGGUUCUCUUCAGUGUGUCCUGCUGAGGGGAUGAGGGAGCGGGGCAUUCGUUCACUGAACGCUUUUGAGCACUGGCUCUCCACCAGUACCUGGCCACAUGUUGGAAAUAGAAAGCCAGAGACACCCCUUUUCUGCAGGAGCUGUGGUAUUUCGGGAAGAGCUGUGGGGGCUAAACACAGAACUCCAGGGACAAAUGGUAGCCCAGGGCCCUGUGUGGGGCUCACCCUGCCUCCUGGGUGGUUCGUGUCAGAACCUCCCAAUACCCAAAGUGGGCCAAC
Molecule: long non-coding RNA, 2583 nt
Filed under: Canis lupus familiaris (dog)
Lineage: Eukaryota; Metazoa; Chordata; Mammalia; Carnivora; Canidae
Description: lncRNA (ENSCAFG00030021331.1)
Source: RNAcentral